This 1027-nucleotide ribosomal RNA is filed under the name uncultured bacterium. RNAcentral describes it as "bacterial SSU rRNA". It matches the Rfam family "Bacterial small subunit ribosomal RNA", at positions 337 to 1394 of the family's 1533-position model. The record is from RNAcentral.
UCCUACGGGAGGCAGCAGUAGGGAAUUUUCCACAAUGGGCGAAAGCCUGAUGGAGCAACGCCGCGUGCAGGAGGAAGGCCUUCGGGUCGUAAACUGCUUUUAUCUGUGACGAUUUUGACGGUAGCAGAUGAAUAAGGAUCGGCUAACUCCGUGCCAGCAGCCGCGGUCAUACGGAGGAUCCAAGCGUUAUCCGGAAUUACUGGGCGUAAAGAGUUGCGUAGGUGGCAUAGUAAGCAAAUAGUGAAAUGAUACGGCUCAACCGUAUGUCCAUUAUUUGAACUGCUAAGCUUGAGUAUGAGAGAGGUAGAUGGAAUUUCUAGUGUAGGAGUGAAAUCCGUAGAUAUUAGAAGGAACACCGAUGGCGUAGGCAGGCUACUGGCUCAUUACUGACACUAAGGCACGAAAGCGUGGGGAGCGAACGGGAUUAGAUACCCCGGUAGUCCACGCCGUAAACUAUGGAUGCUAGCUGUUAGAAGUAUCGACCCUUCUAGUAGCGAAGCUAACGCGUUAAGCAUCCCGCCUGUGGAGUACGAGCGCAAGCUUAAAACAUAAAGGAAUUGACGGGGACCCGCACAAGCGGUGGAGCGUGUUGUUUAAUUCGAUGGUAAGCGAAGAACCUUACCCAGGCUUGACAUCCUUGGAAGGUCUCCGAAAGGAGACUGUGCCUUUUGGAACCAAGUGACAGGUGUUGCAUGGCCGUCGUCAGCUCGUGUCGUGAGAUGUUUGGUUAAGUCCAUCAACGAGCGCAACCCUUGUAGUUAGUUGAAUUUCUCUGGCUAGACUGCCCCGGUAACGGGGAGGAAGGAGGGGAUGAUGUCAGGUCAGUAUUACCCUUAUGUCUGGGGCUACAAACACACUACAAUGGCCGGUACAAAGGGCAGCCAACCCGCGAGGGGGAGCAAAUCCCAUCAAAGCCGGUCUCAGUUCGGAUUGCAGGCUGAAACUCGCCUGCAUGAAGCUGGAAUCGCUAGUAACGGUAGGUCAGCAAACUACCGUGAAUACGUUCCCGGGCCUUGUACACACCGCC